CAUGCAAGUCGAACGCUUCCUGAGUGGCUUGCCAUUCAGGAAGAGUGGCGAACGGGUGAGUAACACGUGAGUAAUCUUCCCUCGAGUGAGGAAUAAGCCCGCGAAAGCGGGUCUAAUACCGCAUAAUACCCCGGGGCAUAAGUUUCCGGGGUCAAAGCCGUAAGGCGCUUGGGGAUGAGCCUGCGUCCUAUUAGCUAGUUGGUAGGGUAAUGGCCUACCAAGGCUUUAUGGGUAGCCGGCCUGAGAGGGUGUACGGCCACACUGGGACUGGGACACGGCCCAGACUCCUACGGGAGGCAGCAGUGAGGAAUAUUGCGCAAUGGGCGAAAGCCUGACGCAGCGACGCCGCGUGUAGGAUGAAGGUCUUCGGAUUGUAAACUCCUGUCAGAGGAGACGAAAGCCCGAGCAAUCGGGUUUGACG
Molecule: ribosomal RNA, 421 nt
Filed under: uncultured bacterium
Lineage: Bacteria
Description: bacterial SSU rRNA
Rfam family: Bacterial small subunit ribosomal RNA
Source: RNAcentral